RNAcentral lists this unclassified non-coding RNA (335 nucleotides) under soil metagenome. RNAcentral's name for it is "partial contains 5.8S ribosomal RNA, internal transcribed spacer 2, and large subunit ribosomal RNA". The stretch from base 1 to 120 matches the Rfam family "5.8S ribosomal RNA", at positions 35 to 154 of the family's 154-position model. The record is from RNAcentral.
GAUGAAGAACGCAGCGAAAUGCGAUAAGUAAUGUGAAUUGCAGAAUUCAGUGAAUCAUCGAAUCUUUGAACGCACAUUGCGCCCGCCAGUAUUCUGGCGGGCAUGCCUGUUCGAGCGUCAUUUCAACCAUCGAGCCCCCGGCUUGUGUUGGGGACCUGCGGCUGCCGCAGGCCCUGAAAAGCAGUGGCGGGCUCGCUGUCACACCGAGCGUAGUAGCAUACAUCUCGCUCUGGGCGUGCUGCGGGUUCCGGCCGUUAAACCACCUUCAUAACCCAAGGUUGACCUCGGAUCAGGUAGGAAGACCCGCUGAACUUAAGCAUAUCAUAAGCGGAGGA